AAUAUGGUUCAUUGGUUCAUUUUCUCAAGUCGUCUUCUUCCAUUUCCUCCACGCACGGCCUUAUUCACGUCUGGCAGUGAGAGAGAUCGGGAUGUCGAGGUGUGUUUUUGUGCCGGAAUGCUGCAGGAGGGGCUGAAGGAGUGAAGAUGAGUCGGAUGACUGACUUGACUGCUGGUUUGACGCGUGAGGCAGCUGUAACUACAAGGAGAAGUCUCCCUACCUCUGGGCGUCCCGAAUGUGUCAUUGCUUAAACAGUAUGUGGCGGUGCCUAGCCUAACUUGACCUAACCUUGUGUCAACAUGCAAGCGAAUUAAGCGUCCCUUCAUUCACUGUAGCUGUGGUUGCCUCGAUCUAGUCCGCCGACCGCCAGCGCCGUGCAGAUUGGAUGAACGGUAGACUCAUGGUGCCAGAUCUGCUUCACUCGCGACUCCAGAAGUCGCGGCCGUGAAGCUACGGUGGCUAAAUAUAGCAGAGUUCUGGAAGCCGCACACUACGUGGUACAUGUCUGCAAGCGCCAAACCACAAGGCUGACACCGGCGUCCCUACACUUCCGCACUACUAACUUUGUAGAGCCACAUCUAUCUCAAGGAAUAUACAAGAAUCCUAGGUUUCACCCGAACCAACUCCUCGGCCACAGCAGCGCUCCAGCCGGACCUGUACCCGCCCAAACGUCUGAGAAGCCCCGGUAUCCUGCUCCUUCUCUUCUGUGUCCAUGUGAUAGUCCAUCUUCAGGUCGUCCAGACCACGGAGAUGUGCGGUCUGGCACAGGUCCUGCCACUAAUGAAGGGAGAACCAAACUAGCGUGUCUUAACAAAACCCAACCUGCGGCAGGAAAUUGGCUCUUCUUUAGAAGACGCCAACUGUCUCGCUGCACCUUCGAGUGGCUUGGACGGAGGAAUUGCCUCGCACCAGCGGUACCAUGACAACGUGUUGCCAUCCAGGGAGGGAGGACACCCUACCUCGCUGCACUUUCCACGGAGGAAUCGGACCCUGGCUCGCACCAACACUGCCCCUGAGAACACGUGGUGACAUCCAAGGAUUCUAUAUUUUAUCAUCCUUGGUGACAUCCAGGGAGGGCGGACACACUGCCUCGCAGCAGCUUUGUCUUGGUAACUCGUGGUACCAUCCAGAAAGGGAGGACAGGCUGCCUCGCUUCAUCUAGCCUAGCCUAACCUAACCAAUACAUGUUGCCAAUCACUCCUGUAAUGUUUUUCAUUCCUUCUGUCUAAUGUAAUGUACCCACAAGUGUAUAAUAUUCCUUCACGAGUAAUAUUAUUCUGUUCUGUGAUGUACCAAUGUAACUGGUUAGUACAUAUAAUAAAUCAUGAUAAAAGGAAA
Long non-coding RNA from Portunus trituberculatus (swimming crab), 1338 nucleotides. RefSeq lists it as uncharacterized. The record is from RefSeq and is a predicted model, not a curated record. The transcript has 5 exons. NCBI's taxonomy places the organism in Eukaryota, Metazoa, Arthropoda, Malacostraca, Decapoda, Portunidae.